This 24-nucleotide non-coding RNA is filed under the name Arabidopsis thaliana (thale cress). Lineage: Eukaryota; Viridiplantae; Streptophyta; Magnoliopsida; Brassicales; Brassicaceae. The record is from RNAcentral.
GUGAUUUGUGCUAUAUUACGGACC